UAUUAAAUAAAAUUAGUUUUUUUAUAUAGAUAUUACUAUUUUUGAAAUAGUUAUUAAUAAAACUUACGGAUCCGGAUAUCCGGACUAAAAAAUCGAGAUAUCCGGAUCCGGUAGAAUAGUUUUGGGAAACAAAUGAUGUACGAGCAUUUUACUAUCCGGAUCCGGAUUCGGCCCCUCCGGAUAUCCGGAUUUUCGGAUCGGAUCCAGAUCGAAUCUCGGAUCGAAUCCGGAUCUCGGAUAAAAAUCCCAGAACUGGUAUUGUGAAUAUAUUUUACAUUUGCGAGUAAACUUUUAUGGAUAAAUAAAAGUGAAGCAAUUGGACAGUGCCACAUGUCUUCGUCGGCUCUUUAAAAUCAGUCAGAGAUUGGUCGCAGAAAAACUAGAAAGUAUUGCACUCUAGAACACUUUAUGAGUUGUUAAUAACACUCUAGGAUACUCUGUGCUCCAAGAGGACUUUGUUGGCUCUCUACAUGUAAAUGAGAACUUGAAAUUCCACAACUACCCUUCUUCUUUCUAACAAUUAAGAAACUUAAAUCUCAUUUAUCUUCUAUUUUCCCUGAAUUUCUCGAUCUACAAACUAAAUUAGGGUUUUUGAUUUCUGCAUUUACCUUCGAUUCUUUAAUUUUUCUCACUAGAUUCAUAGAGAUUCACCUUCUCAGAUCACCUGUUUGUGAAUCCGACGAUCUUUCUUCUUGUUCCGCCGGAACUCAAACCCCUGCUCUGGAAUGGUAUUUCGUUACAAGAACCUCGUUAAAACCACUAGACGAAAGGGACAAAAAAGAGAGAUGAUGUAGAGAUGUGAGUUUCUGAGGACACUGCCCAUCAUCUAUUCUUUUGAACCAUGCCUGCAAGUGCCACCUUCGAAGAGAAGAUGCCAUUGAAUCUCAUCAGUUUAAGAAUGAAGCUUUAUGUGUUAUCUCAUAAUCCGUCAGAUUCACCCUCGACGAUUGCUCCGCCGUCAAAGUGAGGUACCUGUAUCACCGUCGGUUCCAGCUCCUCGGAGGGUGAGGAAGAGUCCACUUAGCUUUGACACCAUUUUCAGACAAAGAGCUAGGAGGUUUACGACUUUACGGCGGUGGGAUCAGAAGAGGAUGAGAGCAAGUGAAUAUGGCACACACAAAGUUUUAGCCUUCAAAAUAUGAAUCUACUGAACACACGCGUUGGUGGAUGUUGUUUGUUUGGGUCUUCAUAGAACUUUCUUGAAAUGAAUUAUAUUUUCAUUUCAUUUGCUUCUUUACCUUGACUCUUUUUCUUAUCACUUUUGUCCAAGCUUCUUACUGACUCAGAGUGUCUCUGUAUCCAGCUGGAUACCUCUUAUGCAGCCUUGCACGUUAUGUUGAAAUAAGUACGAUGAUUGUUUGCUACAAAGGCUUGCAACCUUGCACAUUAUGCAUGUUGCUUUUUGCUAUUUACUUGUAAACAAUUUUCAUUUGUACACACAUGAAAGCUAAGAUUUAUGGGUUAUGAAGAACAAUGAGCAUAAUA
Long non-coding RNA from Brassica napus (rape), 1485 nucleotides. RefSeq lists it as uncharacterized. Lineage: Eukaryota; Viridiplantae; Streptophyta; Magnoliopsida; Brassicales; Brassicaceae. The transcript is spliced from 2 exons. The record is from RefSeq and is a predicted model, not a curated record.